Molecule: long non-coding RNA, 1010 nt
Filed under: Olea europaea subsp. europaea
Lineage: Eukaryota; Viridiplantae; Streptophyta; Magnoliopsida; Lamiales; Oleaceae
Source: RNAcentral
CUUUGUCACAUAUGACCCUUGGUCGAAAUCCUAUCUCAUCCCGAAAUACGGUUCACAUCAUUUCACUUCAAAUUUUGCCGUUUGUACAUCAGUGUACGCGCCCCUCGCAUGAAGAAUGGAUCCAUGCUCAAUAAAAGAUAUGUGGACCUCGCUUGUGUGAGGGGCUUGUAAACCGACGUUGUGUACGUAUAGCACAAUUGUUUCACUUGAGCUUCUACAUAGUUUCUAGAUUUUUCUAUUGAGCCUUUCAGUCUUCUUCUCCGUCUUCGUUCUGGUCUUUAAUGUCUUAUGAGAUUCUAAACUAGUUGUAUAAUCCUUGUUGAUUAGAUUUGCUACAAUAAUUCAGAACUGAAAUAGCGGCUGAAUUUGUGCGAUUUAAGAGAUCCUCUUGUGGAUUCACGACUAAAUCUUGGUCUGAUUUGGUUUGAUGUACUCUAUAAUCUCUUUGAAAGGUUUUUGGUUACACUUAGUGAUCGUGCUGAUCCGUGAGCCCCAAAAUUAAGCUUUUGCUGAAUUUGGUGAACAAUUAUUUUGUUCUUUAUGUUUUUAAAUGCGGUGAUUUUUAUUUAUUUAUUUAUUUUAUAUCGUUCAUCAAAUUGACACUUUUUGGGAUAAAAUUUCAACAAAACUAGUAUCAAAGCCAUUAGGGUUUCUGAACGUGUGUUCCUUUUGAAACUAAAAUCUUUUUUAGGUAUUUUUUUGGAUUUGUUUAGAUCUUUCAAGGAUCUAUACAGACUUGUAUUUCCUUGGGUAGCCUGAAAUAAUAAAUGUGAAAAAAUUAAUGGCGGUAUGCCACUGUACUGAUCUCGUGGCUGUCUGAGUGAGAUUGUUGGCUUUGGUUAAGGGCUCUGAAAUAUUGUACUGAUUUUCAACAGUAUCUUGGUAAGAUCGUUCCAAAUCUCUUUAAAUUUUUUGGUUUGUUCUUUUAUGUCAUAUGCAUGAAUUUUUUUUUUUUUUUUUUAGAUAUAUAUGUUAAAAUCUUCACGUGAAUAUUUGAGAAUUGAUGAGCA